GACGAACGCUGGCGGCGUGCUUAACACAUGCAAGUCGAACGGAAAGACCCUGCUUUUGUGGGGUUCUCGAGUGGCGAACGGGUGAGUAACACGUGAGUAACCUGCCCUUGACUUUGGGAUAACUUCAGGAAACUGGGCCUAAUACCGGAUAGGAGCUCCUGCUGCAUGGUGGGGGUUGGAAAGUUUCGGCGGUUGGGGAUGGACUCGCGGCUUAUCAGCUUGUUGGUGGGGUAGUGGCUUACCAAGGCUUUGACGGGUAGCCGGCCUGAGAGGGUGACCGGCCACAUUGGGACUGAGAUACGGCCCAGAGUCCUACGGGAGGCAGCAGGGGGGAAUAUUGCACAAUGGGCGGAAGCCUGAUGCAGCAACGCCGCGUGCGGGAUGACGGCCUUCGGGUUGUAAACCGCUUUCGCCUGUGACGAAGCGUGAGUGACGGUAAUGGGUAAAGAAGCACCGGCUAACUACGUG
Molecule: ribosomal RNA, 468 nt
Filed under: uncultured bacterium
Lineage: Bacteria
Description: partial 16S ribosomal RNA
Rfam family: Bacterial small subunit ribosomal RNA
Source: RNAcentral